This 504-nucleotide long non-coding RNA is filed under the name Nicotiana benthamiana. RNAcentral's name for it is "long non-coding RNA (NBEN_LNC002470)". Lineage: Eukaryota; Viridiplantae; Streptophyta; Magnoliopsida; Solanales; Solanaceae. The record is from RNAcentral.
CAAUAAGAAUGGCAAAGGCAGAAAGGAGGCGUUUACGGAAACAAAAGGGUUGGAGGCAGGGCUUUCUGUGUUGUAGAUUCUAAAUCUUUUUCAUUUUAUUUAUUCUAUUUAUAAGGAUAUUAGUGCAAAAUAUAGAAAAGCUUAAAUCUUGAACAUUUUGAGUACUGUAAGUAUACAUGUUGAUAUUCUCUUAGGGGUUGACAUGCUAUUCUUGGUAGGUUUUACAUGGCUUUAGAGUUUGUUUUAUUAAACAUGGAGGCUGCAGAUGUAAAAACUUUUCUUGCAUCUUUGUUUUCCUUAUACAAUCUAUCCUAUACUCAUCUACUCUUCACUUUAUGAGAGUUCUUAGUAUGUAUAUUAUUGCAGAUUAGGUUAGCUAUUGUCAGUUAUUAUCAUAUUUGUUGUUAGCGGACUUACUAGUCGCAAAUGUUAACUUUAUAUAUAUAUAUAUAUAUAAUCGGAUUGAAGGAGAGCCUUGGUGUAAGUUGUAAAAUUAUGGGAUUU